Molecule: long non-coding RNA, 1178 nt
Organism: Triticum dicoccoides
Lineage: Eukaryota; Viridiplantae; Streptophyta; Magnoliopsida; Poales; Poaceae
Exons: 3
Source: RefSeq, a predicted model, not a curated record
ACAUCACUAGCUGUGCUUUUCAUUCUGUAGGCAAAGUUGGUCGCUUGAGUGGUUUGAAGACUCUUUGUCUGCAUGAUGUUGGUAUUACUGGGGAGGAGUUAUAUCUACUUCUGUCCAAUUCCUUCUUGUUAGAGCAUUUGGAUCUCGAGUCCUGCUACGAUAUACAUUGCUUAAAGAUACCACAUUUUUUGUCGAAGCUUAACAUCCUGGAAGUGCAAUGUUGCAAAAUGUUACAGAUGAUUGAAUGCAGUGCUCCAAACCUCUCCACCUUCAAUUAUGAUGGUCCCCUGAUACAUAUCUCGCUUGGAAGUUCAUUGCAAGUGAAGAAAAUGCAAAUGACAUGUGCCAUUAUGCCUAACCUGCUCCAUUAUGCUAGCGCCAAGCUUUCAUCCAUUGCACCAAAUGUCCAAACUCUUUUUUUUACACUCACUUUAUGAGACAGUCAAUACACCUAUGGUGCUGGGUAAAUUUCUGCACCUCAAGUAUUUGGAGAUAAAACUUUUCAUGCCAACUCGUUCUCCAGGUUACGACUUCUGUUCUUUGGUUUCUUUUCUUGAUGCUUCUCCCACCUUGAGGACUUUCGUCUUGUGUGUAGAGGCUCCUACCAUGGAAGGUGGUUUGAUUCCUGGAGUCAAUAUGUGCGAAGAUUUCUCAUUGGCAAGUUCUGUUCCGAAACACCGACAUCGCAAGCUUAAGAGUGUUAUCAUCACUGGCUUUUGCCCUUGGAAGACAAUGAUUGAGCUAACGAGAUGUAUUCUUGAUUAUGCAACGUCACUAAAGCACCUUACCCUGGACACUACUCUUGGAUAUCGUAGGAGGAGGUUGGGCAACUGUUUCCCUUUGGGUAGGGAUACAAUUAUGGAAGCCUGAAAGGCUAUUGCGGCUAUCAGGACAUACAUUGAGGGGAAAGUACCUUCAAAGAUCACGUUUAAGGUUCUUGAGCCCUGCAACUGCAAUAAGUGUCAAGAAUGUUGAGUUAUGUUAUCGUAAUAUGGUUAUGUUAUGAGUAUAGCUUAGAGCCCCUAAAAAAGUGUAAUCUAUUCAAUGACAUCUCUACUACUUCCUCCGAUCCAUAUUACUUGUUUUAGAUUUGUCUAGAUACGGAUGUAUCAUGACACGUCGGAGGGAGUAUUAAAUUGGAGUUGGUCCUUGCAUGUUUGCCUCCACCCCCUCCGGUA